GCGGGUGUAGCUCAGCUGGUUAGAGCACUAGAUUGUGGAUCUAGGGGUCGUGGGUUCAAAUCCCAUCACUCGCCCCA
RNAcentral lists this transfer RNA (77 nucleotides) under Rhodospirillaceae bacterium. RNAcentral's name for it is "tRNA-His". It matches the Rfam family "tRNA". From Rfam's summary of the family: Transfer RNA (tRNA) molecules are approximately 80 nucleotides in length. Their secondary structure includes four short double-helical elements and three loops (D, anti-codon, and T loops). RNAcentral also lists the same sequence under 1 other name. Lineage: Bacteria; Pseudomonadati; Pseudomonadota; Alphaproteobacteria; Rhodospirillales; Rhodospirillaceae. The record is from RNAcentral.